AAACCAGCACCUCAAGUGGUCAGGAGGAUUAUUGGGCCUAAAGCAUCCGUAGCCUGUUCUAUAAGUUCCCGGUUAAAUCCACUAGCUCAACUAGUGGGCUGCCGAAAAUACUGUAGAACUAGGGAGUGGGAGAGGUAGACGGUAUUCGGUAGGAAGGGGUAAAAUCCUUUGAUCUAUUGAGGACCACCUGUGGCGAAGGCGGUCUACCAGAACACGCUCGACGGUGAGGGAUGAAAGCUGGGGGAGCAAACCGGAUUAGAAACCCGAGUAGUCC
This 274-nucleotide ribosomal RNA is filed under the name uncultured bacterium. RNAcentral's name for it is "partial 16S ribosomal RNA". It matches the Rfam family "Archaeal small subunit ribosomal RNA", at positions 473 to 747 of the family's 1478-position model. The record is from RNAcentral.